GACGAACGCUGGCGGCGUGCUUAACACAUGCAAGUGGAGCGACGAACCAGGCUUCGGCCUGGGGCAGAGCCGCGAACGGGUGAGUAACACGUGGGUAACCUGCCCUGAUGAUCGGGACAACCCGGGGAAACCCGGGCUAAUACCGAAUGUGCCCGCGAGCCGCAAGGCUUGCGAGGAAAGGAAGCUUCGGCCUCCGCAUCGGGAUGGGCCCGCGGCCCAUUAGCUUGUUGGUGGGUAACGGCCUACCAAGGCAGCAAUGGGUAGCUGGUCUGAGAGGACGAUCAGCCACACUGGGACUGAGACACGGGCCCAGACUCCUACGGGAGGCAGCAGUGGGGAAUAUUGGACAAUGGGCGCAAGCCUGAUCCAGCCAUGCCGCGUGAGUGAUGAAGG
Molecule: ribosomal RNA, 393 nt
Filed under: uncultured bacterium
Lineage: Bacteria
Description: bacterial SSU rRNA
Rfam family: Bacterial small subunit ribosomal RNA
Source: RNAcentral